Molecule: ribosomal RNA, 467 nt
Filed under: uncultured bacterium
Lineage: Bacteria
Description: partial 16S ribosomal RNA
Rfam family: Bacterial small subunit ribosomal RNA
Source: RNAcentral
GAUGAACGCUGGCGGCGUGCUUAACACAUGCAAGUCGAACGAUGAAGCCCAGCUUGCUGGGUGGAUUAGUGGCGAACGGGUGAGUAACACGUGAGCAACCUGCCCCUGACUCUGGGAUAAGCGCUGGAAACGGCGUCUAAUACUGGAUAUGUCCCGUCACCGCAUGGUGUGCGGGUGGAAAGAUUUUUCGGUUGGGGAUGGGCUCGCGGCCUAUCAGCUUGUUGGUGAGGUAAUGGCUCACCAAGGCGUCGACGGGUAGCCGGCCUGAGAGGGUGACCGGCCACACUGGGACUGAGACACGGCCCAGACUCCUACGGGAGGCAGCAGUGGGGAAUAUUGCACAAUGGGCGGAAGCCUGAUGCAGCAACGCCGCGUGAGGGAUGACGGCCUUCGGGUUGCAAACCUCUUUUAGCAGGGAAGAAGCGAAAGUGACGGUACCUGCAGAAAAAGCACCGGCUAACUACGUG